AAGUCGUAACAAGGUUUCCGUAGGUGAACCUGCGGAAGGAUCAUUAAAUAAUCAAUAAUUUUGGCUCGUCCAUUAUUAUCUAUUUACUGUGAACUGUAUUAUUACUUGACGCUUGAGGGAUGCUCCACUGCUAUAAGGAUAGGCGGUGGGGAUGUUAACCGAGUCAUAGUCAAGCUUAGGCUUGGUAUCCUAUUAUUAUUUACCAAAAGAAUUCAGAAUUAAUAUUGUAACAUAGACCUAAAAAAUCUAUAAAACAACUUUCAACAACGGAUCUCUUGGCUCUC
This 284-nucleotide unclassified non-coding RNA is filed under the name Mucor circinelloides. RNAcentral describes it as "partial internal transcribed spacer region". The stretch from base 1 to 46 matches the Rfam family "Eukaryotic small subunit ribosomal RNA", at positions 1786 to 1831 of the family's 1831-position model. Lineage: Eukaryota; Fungi; Mucoromycota; Mucoromycetes; Mucorales; Mucoraceae. The record is from RNAcentral.